AAUAUGCAGGUAUCAUUGAAUUCUAAGAAUUACACAGUUAAUCAUUGAAUUCCGAAAAAUAGUCUUUGAUUGCAGUCAAAUACCAAAACCAAUUUUAUCAAUCAUUUAACCCUAGUUAUACAUUUCAAUAAACAUGUCGGUUAUUAUUGUUAAAAAUAUAUAAAUAACACAUUAAGAAGAGGGUGAUAGAGCAGAUUGGUACAUCGAGAAAACGUUUUCAAUUAAGGAAAAUUCAAAUGUUUACAAUGUUUUUUUCGGGGGUACCAAGCCAUGUGUAUAUCGUCUAUUAUACUGAAUAUUCUGCCAUAAUGUGAAGUCCUGUACAUAAUAAAGUUACAGUUAUCUGAAAAACAAC
Molecule: long non-coding RNA, 355 nt
Filed under: Mytilus galloprovincialis (Mediterranean mussel)
Lineage: Eukaryota; Metazoa; Mollusca; Bivalvia; Mytilida; Mytilidae
Source: RNAcentral